This 16041-nucleotide long non-coding RNA is filed under the name Homo sapiens (human). Its description in RNAcentral is "HSALNT0316095". The record is from RNAcentral. Lineage: Eukaryota; Metazoa; Chordata; Mammalia; Primates; Hominidae.
CUUCUCAUCCUUUAUAUUUUCUUUCUUGCUCUUUUUAUCUUCUUCUUUUCCACUUUCAGCUUUUCCUUUAUCUUUUUCUUUCUUUAUGUCUUUAUCAUAUUUCAUUUUCAUUACUUUUAGGGCUCGGUGAAAAAACUGCUUCUUUAAAAGCCUUUGGGAAAAACAGGUAUGGCAUUACACUCCCCAUAUAGAUAGAGACUGAAAAGCAAAAAUAUCAAGACCUGAAUAAAAUAAGCAAAGGAAGGCAUAAAUUAGCAACACAAGAGAAAUUACAACUAGUAUGCCCGUGAAAAAGUAGUCAACUCUACCACUAAAUCAAAACACUUUACAGUCAAUUAUAUAAAAGUUGUCAAAACUCAGUGAUAUUCAAUAUAAUUUUCACUUUUAAUGAUGUACCUUAAGUAUAAAAGAGAUUAUAGGUUUGAGAUUAUCCAUAUAAAGACUCUUUCUGGGUUCAUAUAAUCAAGACUCAGCUUCACUUUAUGUUAAGUCUCAAAUGCAAGAGCUGACGUAAUAAAGAAAGGAGAAAAUAAACAGUUUAAGAAAUGUUAACAGAUUAAAAGUGAUGAUUUGAUGGGUCCAAAUAAUGUCUUUUCAGCUUUCUUGGUGUUAUUUUUUCUCCAAGUACUUCGCAAUUCAGUGUGCCACUGUAAUGAUUAUCUUCAAUUAAGCAAUGAUUAAAUAUACUAAGGUGAGAUUUUUGGACUCUGAAAAGGACGUGCACAACAUCAAAUUGAAAAAUGUGCAAUAUAUUUGGCAAAACAUGAUGUAUUCCUGGUUUCACUAAUUUCUCUCUAAAUAGAUUGUUUUCUCUCUUUUUAUCAGUUAUUACUAUAUUUUAUAUUCUCACCUUAGGGCCUUCACACUGGCUGUUCCCUUUACUUAGAAUGCUCUUCCCCCAAAUAAGCAGGUCCUUUUGUUUCACUCCCUUCCUUCAAGUUUUCCCUCAACCACAACCUACUCUGUUUAAAACAUAAGCCCACCUUCCCAUUCUCUCGUUUCCUGUUACCCUAUCCAUAGCACUUAUCUUCUAACUCACUAUAUAAUUUGUAGUAGUUGUUUGCUCCUUCACUAGACGGUAAACUUCUUAAGAGAGAGAGAGAUCCUUGCUUUAUUCAUUUUUUAUCUGACCCCAGAUUAAGUCAACGUUGCUUGGUAGUUUCUCUUUAACCUUACAAUCCUACUCAAGAAAUUGGGUUGCCCUUAUUUUUGUCAUCUAAAAGUCACUUUUUCAAAUCUCAUGUUCUAGUUUCAGAAUUUCUGAUUGGUUUCUCCAUUCCUGCUUUGAUAAUGUCUAAUUGCCACAAUACAAUCUAGAAGCUACGUCUCACUACCACCACUGGUGCCUGCUAAUGGUGACUAUCUAGCUACCUUUCUACUUACACCUCACUGGUGCCUGCUCCAGCACAUCACAGCACUUGUUAACUAGAUGCUUUCUUCCUGCCCAGAUAACCACUUCUUUUUGUCACUGUGUUCAGUCCCCUGAAGCACCUAUGUUUCUAUGUUUUACCUGCCUGGCUGGGCUUCCAUCUGCUCCCCAAUUAGGUCCAGCCUAUGAGCACUUCCACAAAGCUAAUUUCUAGGUUUCCUCAUUUGGCCCAUACUACUUAUUUGGAAGAGCUAUUUUUAAAUUAUGUAAAUAUGAUUGUGCAUAUAAUUGUGCAAAUGUUCAAACUGCCCCUCAAAAUGCUACCAUCAUAUCUGCUAUGAAUACAUAUACAUAUAUAAACAAACAAGAAUCUGAAAUGAGACCUUAAUGAUUAACUACUUAUGAGUACAAAGUGGGAUUUAAGAAUAGUAGUGGCAUAUUUGAAUAUGAAGUGUAGUCUUACAUUUUUUACUCCAGAAUGUCUUACAAAAAAAAUCUAUAAUGAAAAUAUAUUCUAAUUUUCUUUGUGCACUUAUAUGAUUUCCAGAUUUUCUUUCAGGAACAUUUAUUUCCACUCCAAAUGAAAAUAAAAAUACAUCCUGUUCCUCAUAUGUUAAUUGAAAAAGCAGCAUUUUAUAAUGCAGUUAAUAUACAUGUCCAUAUAUUAAGAGUACAUGUGUACACAUACAGAUACUUGAAGUAUAUAUUCUCAAAUGGUAAUGUGGCUGGCUAUCUACGAAGCAACAUUAUUAGUAAUUUGGAUUUUCUUCUAAAUCAUUUGCAACAGUUCCCAUUUUCUUAAAUUUACUUUAGUGGAAAAAAUGAUUCUUAAUAAAGAAUUUUAAAAACAAACAAUGCAACUUUAGUAGAAAAAAGCCUUUUCCCUGAUGAGUAGAUACUGAAGGCAAUAGAACCAGCAGGAUCAUCUGCUUCUGUCAAUUUUCCUGCACAGCUGCCCACCCCCACGAAAGAAAAGUAGAUUAUUAACUUUCAAUCAAAUUGUGUUGAAAAUAAUUUCACAAUUAGGUUGAAAGAUGAGACUGACAUUAUUUAACAUUUGUAUAGUAUCAGAGCCUCCGUUUGUUUGGCUUUAAACCCAUGACAUAGAACACAUUACUAACAUAAAACUCUCUGACAUUUUUACACAACUACUCAUACUUUCCUAUCUCGGUGUGUUCUAUGCCCUUUGCUUGGAAUGAAUUUCCUUUCUUCUCUUGUUUGUUGGGUAAUCACCUAUUUAUGUUUCAAAAUUUACUUAAAACAUUUUCUGUGUGAUGUCAUUCUUCAUAGUUUCACCAUCUCUCUCUUCCUUAUUCAACACACUGCAUUGUGAUUAGUUAUAAAUCUUCCCUAACAGAUCAGAAUAUGUUUUGAUGUAGGGACCAAGUCAUAGUUAUUAUUGUAUUCCUGGAGCCUAGACUAUUUGUUGAGUAAGUGGUUUUAAAACAGCUUCUAAAACAUUUAAAAAAUUACUUCUGUAUUUUUUUCCUUCACUUCCAUUUUUUUUUCAGAUUUAACAAACAUUUAUUAAAUGCCAGACAUGUUGGGGACUUCCACCAAUGUGGCAAAGGUGAGUUUUUAUGAAGUGCUCACACUGUGGUAAUUGCUAUGGAGUUACAAUAAAGUAUAAAACAGUCUUACAAUUGUUUUCAGAUUUAGCUGGCAGGAGAUUUUAAAAAAACUCACACAUAUGUAGCAAUUCUAAAAUAGUUAAGGGCCAAACUGGGAGGUACUAACUUGAUAAACUCAGUAGAACUUUAGAUACAAAGGCUGAUGAAGGCUGGAGGGCCUGGGGAAGAGUACAUUCGGUAGAGGAAGGACUUGAGGGAUUUGUUUGUGAUUUUGAGAGGCAGGUGGGACAGAGGAAACAGAACCGUUUAGGGAAAGUGGCAAGUUAUGAUAGGAAAAAGACUAGAAGAAAAAAUGAGUGUGGCAUGUGCACAAGACUGAGGACGACAUAACUGGAUUGGGGGUCAGUGAUACAAAGUCUUGUGGAGACUUAACCUAGUAUGUAUGAGUUCAUUCAUGAUAUAGGCCAUAAAAAGGUAUAGAUCACAUUAGAAAAGAUUGUUUUAUCAUCCUACAUUUUCCUAUUUUGUUUUUCCUCAGACUCCCUCAUGCCACUUAGCUGCCUCAGAAAAACUGACAGUAUUGGAGGAUGCCAAAAAAAGAAAAAAAGAAACUGGUCAAGAGACCCUUUGUGAUUUUGUCUGCUAUUGGGCAGCAACUCAUGAGAACUGGCCAAUAAGACUCUACGGUUAUAUUAGAAGUGGCUCUGGAGACCUUAAAGUUAUGCUAUUCUCAUUUAUUUUAGUGCAGAAAGGACUCAAACAAUCUGACAUCAGUGGGAAGAGCGUAUACAAUGAAAAUCGAGUGUCUUUGGACACUCUCUGUACUCAGGUCUUUUGAGCUUUUCAAAUAACAAGGUACCAAGGCUCCUAAAAAGCCAAAAAAUGUGGAUUCAUACUGGCUGCUCUACUCAGAGAUUUGGGCUUACAGAUCUAAUAGCUCCAUUAAAUGCAUCGUCAUUUUGUUGGAGGAGACAGUAUAGAGCGGUAGUUAAGAACACAGACUGUGGAGACAGGCUGCUAGAUGUAGAACCCUAGAUCUGCCACUUGCUAGCUGUGUAGCCUUAGAUAAAGUACUUAAGUUCUCUGUGCCCCAGUUUCUGCAUUUGUAGCAUCUCUUAAUUUUUACACAACAUGUAAAAAAUACAUCAGUUUUGUGGCAGGUAAGGAAGUUUGUACUUUUUGGUUUGUUUUUAAGACAGAGUCUUGCUCUGUCACCCAGGUUGGAGUGCAGUGGUGCGAUCUCGGCUCACUGCAACCUCCACCUCCCGGGCUGAAGCUAUUUUCAUGUCUCAGUCACCCAAGUUGCUGGGACUACAGGUGCAUGCCACCACGCCUGGCUAAUUUUUGUAUUUUUAGUAGAGAUGGGGUUUCGCUAUGUUGGCCAGGCUGGUCUUGAACUCCUGGCCUCAUGUGAUCUCCCUGCCUUGGUCUCCCAAAGUGUCAGGAUUACAGGCGUGAACCACUGUGCCCAGCCUGGAAGUUUGUACCGUGGAGCUAAUUCUAUUCACCUUUUUAUUUUUUCCCCACGAGCAGAUUCAAGUUGCCCUGGAUAUAUGCUUGCUGGAGCUAAUUCUAACUAGACAAGUUGCUACAAAAGACAAGCAAAUAUCAACUGCAUGAGUGUUAGCUCAUCCUUGUCUCAACAAUGUCUCACUCUGUCGCCCAGGCUGGAGUGCAGUGGCGCAACCUCGGCUCACUGCAAGCUCCGCCUCCCGGGUUCACGCCAUUCUCCUGCCUCAGCCUCCCGAGUAGCUGGGACUAUAGGUGCCCGCCACCACACCUGGCUAAUUUUUUGUAUUUUUAGUAGAGAUGGGGUUUCACCUUGUUAGCCAGAAUGGUCUCGAUCUCCUGACCUUGUGAUCCACCUGCCUCGGCCUCCCAAAGUGCUGGGAUUACGGGCAUGAGCCACUGUGCCUGGCCGAAACCUACUGUUUCUAAAAGGUCUGUUAGUAACCUCUAGUCUUUGGCAACUAAGAAUUUUAAGAAAUAUUCAAUAAUUCUUUAACUUGACAGCUUAAGAAACCAGGUUGUGAAAUAGUGGUUUUUAAGAGGGUUCUUAUGUGGCUGAUACUUUAGGUGCCAUUAAAUAAAAUAUUAGUACACAUAAAAUAAUCUAAAAUCCCAAAAGAUAAGCUUUAGUGUUAUGAAAACAAAAUUUAGUUAACAUAUAUUAAGAAAAUGCUUAGUAUUAAGUAAACCAAGAAAAAAAAGAAAAGAAAUGGAAAGAAAAACCAGCAUACUUCCUUCCAAAAGGAAGGUGAUUUUGUCUUUUAGGUAAACCACUUAACAUCAAAAGUUUUUUCAAAACAGAAAAAGUAUCUAUUAUGAAAAAUAUAUGUAUAUUACUGAAUUAGCUGUAUUUCAUCUUGAAAUUCUCAGAAAAAGAUAAGGUAGAUGUUGCAGCUUCCUUGAUUUUAGAAGAAAUACUACAUUAGCAAACACUGAACCAAAUAGGAAAGGGUAUGAGGCUUAUGGCUCAGGGUGCAGGCACUAAAAAAGUAGCGGUAACACAGCUAAUAGGAAUUCCUGCAAAAGUUUUGAAAAAAAGACUCCUCAACCAAUUUGCUCUACAAAAGAAAAAACUUUCUUUUCUACUGUAGGCACUGGUAUAUGACUUUUGUUGCUGACCCUUCAGUAGGGCUCACAAAUAUAUAAAAUAGAACAUAAAUAAAAAUUAUAUACAGUUAAAAGUAUAAUAGUCUAAUACCAAACACAUUUCCAGAGGUACCAAAGAAAUCAGGUUACAUGUGAAAACAGUAUUUGAGUUAUGUUGUAGUAUCACUACAUUUAAUGAUGUAAGGAGCUUCAGGACUAUGAAGAAAAUUUAAAAUUAUUAUGUUAUUCUUCACUAAGAAAUAAACAGUACCUGUUGCAGUAGUCAACCACAGACUCCCUGGUUGUAAAUAAAGCUUCCUCUCCUUUCUUGGCCUUUGCCCACUUUGAAUCCAAAAGACAGUCCACUGCUUUUGAAGCUAAAGAAGAAAUUCAUUAUUUUAAAUUUAGCAUACAUGGGGAUUUAUGUCUAUCUAAAUAAUAUUUUAUAAAGUAAAAUUUCAACACUCUGGCAACAAAAAAGAAAACCAAACUCAACAGAAAACUAAAUCUAACAUGAUCAUGAUUAGUAGUUCCCCAAAACCUCAACUUGUGAACUAUAUUAAGUAUCUUUUAAAAGUAAUGUUGGGAAAUAAUGGCAUUCAGAAAGACCAACUAAAGCAAGUUAAAUUAAUGGGGAAAUAUUCAAAAAUUUAAAAUAUCUGUAUGUAACUAUCACUCUUAUUAAUCACAAGCAUAUGUAGAUAAACCAAAAUGUUCACCACUCCCUGCAAGUAAUAAAAAUUCUCAUCAAGUUUUACUCUAAUACACUGAGGAAGAAGCUCUGUCAACAAUCCACUGCUGUCACAAGAAACAGCUAAACAUAUUAUAUCUGAAGAGAUUAGCACAUCUACUUUUUAAAACUUGUAAUGAAUGUCAAAUCAUUAAAAACAGUAAAGAAAGAGACGAUAAAGGACUUUUCCUCUACACUGGCAAUUUAGUUUUUUUUUUCUUCUAAGAGACAGGUUCUUGCUCUGUCACCCAGGCUGGAGUACAGUGGUGGGAUCAUAGUUAACUGCAGCCUCUAACUCCUGGGCUCAAGCCAUCCUCUCACUUCAGAGGCGCAUGCCAUCAUACUCAUCUAAUUUUUUUGUAGAGAUGGGGUCUCAUUGUGUUGCAUAGGCUGGUCUCGAACUCCUGGCCUCAAGCAACCCUCCUGCCUUGGCUUCCCAAAGUGUUGGUACUAUAGGUGUGAGCCACGACACCCAGCUGCAAUUCACUUUUAAUUGAUGAGAAAGGCAAACUCAACCCCUACUUAUAAGCUCUGGUGUUAUAAAUGACAUCAGCUUAUAAUGACAUUGUUUGGGGAAAAAAAGCCAGUGCUCUUAGUUCCAAGUACGCAUACUAUCUAAACAAAAGGUAGUAUUUUAAAACACUGAAAAUAAAUCCUAUUUAAAAAAAUUUCCAACAAUUGUUAUUAGAAAACAUGUUAUCUUUUUAUUAUAGACAUUUUCAAUCAUAAAAGAAAAGAACAGAAUAAUCAACUGCCAUAUGUCCAUCACCAGAACAAUCACAUUUGGAAAGCACUUUUAAAACUUCUACAUAUCCCAAAUGUAGGUUAACUUCAUAACAUAUGUACACUAAUACGAUUUUACUGAUAUAAUCCUACCAAUAAAAUAAUCAACCCGGUGACCCAUCAUAUUGGUGGACUUUGUUGGACAGUUGAAUCGAAGAUACUUGGCCACAGCCUUCUCUUCUUUAGAUGGUUCACCAACUUCCUGCAACAUAUGAAUAUUAAUUUAGUAUAAUCAUAUACUUGAGAAAUUCAUGCGCUGAAUAAUAAUUUACAAAUCUAUUUUAUGAAUCUUUUCAAGUGGAGUACAGGCCUUGCUUUCAAGCUUUCUCUGGAGCGACCUAAUAAAGUAUUCAAAAGACAAAAAUGGAGAUUUAAAGAAACUACGUUUUUCAAAUAUAAGUUGAUAGAGGCAAAGCCUGUCUGCUUCUUGGCUUCAACUAUGAGGCAUUUGAGUUGUUUUUUCCACAAUGGUAACUACUUUGUACCAGUUCACUUUCAUUCUUAUACGGUCUUUUUUUUUUUUUUUUUUGAGAUGGAGUCUCACUCUGUUGCCUAGGCUAGAGUGCAGUGGUGCGAUCUCGGCUCACUGCAACCUCUGCCUCCUGAGUUCAAGUGACUCUCCUGCCUCAGCCUCCCAAGUAGCUGGUAUUACAGGUGCCUGCCACCAUGCCCAGCUAAUUUUUGUAUUUUUAGUAGAGACAGGGUUUCGCCACGUUGGCUAGGGUGGUCUUGAACUCCUGACCUCAAGUGAUCCGCCAGCCUAGGCCUCCCAAAGUGCUGGGAUUACAGGCGUGAGCCAUCGUCACCGGCCUAUAGUCUCUUUUUAUAAGCCACAAAACAGUAAUUAAAAAGAUAAGAUGUUGCUAAUAGUGAGUAUCCAAAUGUCAAAGUAAGUAGAAACAAGUGUCAUAAAUAAAUGUUAAAAUAACAGCCAAAGAUAUGUAUCCUGAACAAUGGACAACAGAUCGCAGAAGGAGUUCUCAAAUUAAUCAAUGACAGCUGCCCCCAAUGUGGUAGCCAUAAGAACUACUGACACAAUGACAAUUUGUAUUCUCUUUCCUUUCCCCCUGUGGCUGCAGAUACCAGACACUCCUGGGACUGUCUUUCUCAUCUUCUCUUCUCCAGUAAGGGUGAGGCAAAAAUGAAAAAUGCAAAAAGAGUUAUUACUAUCUCAUUUGAAGAGGUGAUUAAUGGAAGUGCACUGACAAAGAGUCGUUUUGGAAAGGCCGUUUUAAUCCUUCUCUGCUUUCUUUCUUCUAUAUCUUUUCCCAAAUUUUCUAUUAUUUUCUUCAUUGUUUCUCAUUCCCCAUCUUCCCUUUAUUCCCUUUCAUUCUGAACUUCUUUGACAAUUCCUCCUGUGAAUUUAUUUUCCCUACUCACGUACUGAAGAAAAUGAAGGCAGUCUAUCUUUGUAUACAUCUUAUGUAUAAACUUUCAAAAGCUGUCUUAUUGCUGUAAGCUAUUGAAACAAAUGCACUGUACUUAAUUACUGUCUAUAAUUGCAUGCUUAAGCACAAUACACAGAACAUUCAGUAUUUCCAGCAACAUAUAAUCUAAAUGUGAAUGAUUUCAGGAAGGGCUGCUUCAUUAAAGAAUAAAAUGACAAAUAAUAGUAAAAAAUAAUCUGGCAAGAAUCUAAGAUGCUAAGAAUUAAUGCUAAAGACAGCUGUUUCAAGCAAAAAAAAUCUAAUGAUGCAAAAUAGAAAAAAGAAUCUAUCCAACUUAUCUAUGUUGGGUUUUUCCAAAGUUAAGAGAAGUCUGAAUUAAGUUAUGUUUGAGGAAAAUAAAGAACAACCAACAAACCUACGUUUCAGCUUUAACUUUAUCCCAAAAAGGAAUAAUUUGUUAGAUGAAGUGGAAGUUUUUGUUUUGGUUACUGAGUCUCCUGGCAGGUACAUCUCUCAUUUCUUCCUUUGUAUUUCGCAAGUCCUCUACUUCCAGUAGCCCAAUUACCUGUGUAAGAUCAUACCAGUGUACAAUUCCUACAGUCUGCAACUACCAGCUGUGGGCUAUUUGUGGCAAUAAAAAUUAAGAGCCCAAAUCACUCAACCCAAAAGAAGGCUACUAUAAAAACCAAGUAUUUAUGAAAUUAAAACUUUUAUAUAUGAAAAUACGUAUCACAAAAAGUAGAUUUUUUUUUUUUUUUUGAGACGCAGUCUUGCUCUGUCUCCCAGGCUGGAGUGCAAUGGUGCUAUCUCAUCUCACUGCAACCCCCACCUCCUGAGUUCCAGCGAUUCUCAUGCCUCAGCCUCCCGAGUAGCUGGGAUUACAGGUGCCCACCACCAUGUCCGGCUAAUUUUUUGUAUUUUUUGUAGGGAUGGGAUUUUACCAUGUUAGCCAGGCUGGUCUCGAAUUCCUGACCUCAGAUAAUCUGCAUGCCUCAGUCUCCCAAAGUCUUGGGAUUACAGGCGUAAGCCACCACGCCCAGCAAAAAACUGGAACCUUAAAAAAUGGCAAAUUCAAAAUUUAACACUCCAAGUUCAGGAACAACUACAAGAUUCAUAAUGAUUUAUUUGAGGCCUGACUGCAAAAUAUACUUUCUGAUAUAAUAAAAGGCAAAAAUUCCUAAUUAAAAUUUUUGAAACCAUGCUAAAAUAUAUUAAUAUAUGUUAGUAUCAGGCAUAUUAAAUGAUAGUAUUUAAUUAUGUUUGUAAAAUACACUACACUUCGCAGAGCCUCAAUUAGUAAAUAAUAGUCUAUAUAUCCAUACAUCUGAAAAAGUAAUACUAUAAAAGUUGAAUACUAUAAAUGGUUUAUAGAAACCAAUUCUAUUAUAUAAUCACACCACACAUGCUCAAUUUUUUCCUCAUCUGAUACAUCUGUUGUCAACUUAAAAUCGAUCUAAUUAAAUAACUUGUUACUGGGAGGUGCUUGAUUAAAAAUUGUGGGGGAGAAGUCUGAAUAAAUGUGACCUGUUCUUCCAGACUUACAGAGUACUCACCCUAUCAUCUUUGGAUGCUACAGUUAACAGCAAAGAUUUGUAAGGCAUGAUAUGUACACUCUGUUACAUAACUGUUAGAAGCAGUAAUUAUUAUUUCCCAAAAAGAGGGGCAGAAAAAAUAUUUUUGAAAUACACAGAGUAGGAUGGGUUGGGUGGCUCAUGCCUGUAAUCCCAGUACUUUGGGUGGCUGAGGCAGGCAGACUGCUUGAGCCCAGGAAACCAGGCUUGAGACCAGCCUGGGCAACAUGGUGAAACUCCUUCUCUACAUAAAAAAAAAAAAAAAAAAAAGAUAGAAAAAGGUGCUACACAUGUGUAGUUCCAGCUACUCAGGAGGCUGAGGUAGGAAGACCACCUGAGCCCUGGUAGGUUGAGGCUGCAGUGAACCAAGAUCAUGCCACUGCACUCCAGCCUUGGCAACAAAGUGAAAGCACCCAAAUUAGGAGUGAGAUUAUCAAUGUGGAUGGGAACACUGGAAGAGGAAGAUAAAGUUUGAAAGAUGAACAAGUUUUGGGUAAACUGACUGAAAAGCCAUAAAUAUUGUGGCUGAGAAUGACACAAAAUUUGGCUCUAGUAGAGACAAGCUAGGAAGUACUGGGAGAUUAAGUGUGUAAAAGCAGAAUAGUCAUCAAGGUAGGCAAGGAAAUUUCUACUUUACCCUGUAAGCAGCAGAAAGACCACUAGUAGUUUCUUAAUAGGACAUAACUAGAAAAAUGAUUUAGACAUGAUUUUGGUGGCUGUGUGUAGGAUGAACUGGAAAAAAAUGCAUAAGGCAGGGAAAUGGAUGGAAGACUACUGUAAUAUUCAAGUAAAUUGUAGUGUGAUACUGGACUAUAAAUGGGAAAGAAAUUUAGAUAUCUGAAACAUUUCAAAUGUAGAACACAUAGAACUCAAUGAUAAAGGAUAAAUAAAAUGGCUAGGUAAAGAUGUCAGAUUUCCAACUUUAUCAACAGAAAGGAAAUGUGGAAGGAAAGUAAUUGUAGAGAAUGACCAUAUCAAAUUUAGGCAUGAUACAAAUAUACUCAUACUAACACUCAGUUAUACCAUUCCUGAAUACAGACAUAAAUAUACUAAUCUACUGACUGCUGAUAGAGGCAUCACAUGUAAAACCUGAUUAAAUAUUAGGGUACAUAAAAAAUUGAGAAGCUGAUUACAUAUUACGCAAUAGGGAACCUGAUAUGUAUGCACAAAAUUUAAAAAUCUCAUUCUAACAAUUAAUUUCAAGUUCACCAAACUCUUCUAAAACUGCACCCUGUCCUUUGUAAAGGCACUAUCAAGAGGCAAUGAAAGGAAGAGACCAGAAAACACGGACUUGGAUAAUCUCUCCCAACUAGACACAGAAUUAACUUGUUUACUGAUACUUUCUUAAAGUAUUGCAAUUUAUUAACUUAUAAUAACUUAUCCAUAUUGUAGACUGCCUUCAAUGCAACAAUAUAAUUUGUGCCAUUGCUUUGGCGUUGAAGCCAGAAAGAUAGAUUGCUGUAGAAGAGUACCAUGAGAGGCAGGGCUCAGUGGCUCAUCCCUGUAAUCCCCACCACUUUGGGAGGCCGAGGUGGAUCGCAUGAGACCAGGAGUUUAAGACCAGCCUAGGUAACUUUCUGAUACUCCAUCUCUACAAAAAAUUAAAAAAAAUUAGCUAGGUGAGGUGGUGCACACACUUGUAGUCCCAGCUAGUUGGGAGGUUGUGGCCAGAGGAUCACUUGAGACCAGGAGUUUGAGUCUCUAGUGAGCUAUGAUGCCAUCACUGCAUUCCAGCCUGGGCACCACAGUGAGACCUUGUCUCUUUAAAAAAAAAAAAAAAAAGUACCAUGAGAACAUGAACAGAUAGUUGGGAUUACAAGCACAAGCCACCACAUCCAACGUGCAUGCAGUCUUCACUUUCACUGUUCUCCUGAUGCAGCAUAAGAAGGUAUAAAAGUUUUACCUUCUUUUUGUUUAUACAUUGGACUACAGUACCUCCCCCUCUUUGUUCUCUUUUGAUGUAAACAGAAUAUUUUUAUAAUUUUCCUAGAAGACUUCUAACAAAGUGAAGGCCUUUUGGGAAUAGUAGCACCCACUAAUAAAGAGAAACCAACCUAUCAAUCUUCAAACAAAUGGAGAGAACUUCUUAGUUCAAUGAAUGAACACAACUGUCUUACAAUGAGGAAGCUAAGAGCCAAUAAAUUUAGGCUGGACUGCCUUUCCUUUCUUUGCACCCAACACCAAUACACUGGGUGCUGUAACUUAAAAUACAAAAUUAUUUAAAUUGGAAGUUUGGUUAGAAUACUCUUAUAAAAUUCUUUAAUAAAUACUGUUUUUUACUUUAGAAUACACCGACACUCAAAUACUAUAAUAAGAUAGAGUUUGACAUUUCUAAGUUAUUUUAGCCAAUAUUUAACCUUUUUGAGAAAAAAAUCAAGAGUAAGUAUGUCACAGGCACCAAUCUUACAGAAUUUGUGAUACAGAGGAACUUUUAAAAAUUACUACAUCCAAUAAAAAUUAGCUUAGUUGAUCUGUCAACCAUGAACUGAGCAAAAAAGAAAAAGGCUUGGUUCAAGCAGUAUAAAAUAUUUGUGAAAAAUGCAAAUAGUAGUUUAACAAUAAGAUCUGAAAGCUGGAGGGGACCUUAAUCAUUAGUAACAAUAUGUGCUACACAAAUAACACUAUACAAGAGUAUCUAGACAACAGCAGUGCCCUUCUGUAAUAGCUCCAACUCCCUUCUAUUGUAUUCUUUCCUUAGCAAUGGGUUUGCUAAACUGCAAAACCCUCCAUUAAGCCUUUGAGGGGUAGUUUUCUGAUUUAGGACUGGCUUCCUGAGUUCUUUCUCUUCAGAAUAUUCAGAGUCAGAAAUUAGACCUGUAUAGUCUGGCUAUAUAGUCCCAAAUUUUCUCUUUUCUUCCCUGUCCUGAAAUUAAGCACAUAAGCCCAUGAUAUGUCAAGGUUUUAUUGCUUGCCAGGAAGACAGAUGGGUGCAACAAAAAUAACUAAUGGAGGGUUAUAAAAGUUCUAAGAAUUAGCCAUUUAAAUGUCUCAAAACUCAACUGGACAUUAAGCAGAAUACUGAAUGGGAUGAUUCUCUUUAGCAAGGACAAGUCAUGUUAAGUCUUUACGUUGCAUAAUUCAAUAAUAAAGAAGUCAGGAUUAAAGUAUUUCAAAGCAACUUAUUUUUUAUCUAUUGUGAGACAGAAAGAGUAUUCAGUUGGGAAUCAGAAGACCUGGUCUAAAUCUGGUUUUACUAUCUUGAUUGACGAUCCUGGAUUAAGUCACAAAACCUCACUGGACCUCAGUUUAUCUGAAAAACGAGGGUGUUGGGUGAGAUCAGUCAGCUGUAGGAUCACCACUCUGCUUUCAUGUUAAGACUGAAUUUAUGAAAAAGGCUUCCAAACAAACCCUACUAGAUCCUUUUAAACUCUAAAAUUUCUUGAUACCAGGAUUGUAAAUCAACUUCUACUAUGCAGCAGCACAUUGUUAAUCUAUAUGUAGUUACUGUAUGAGUACAUGUAGCUCACUUCUGGUUUUCAGUGACCAGUAAUGAGUCCAAGAAGGAAAUGUGACAACAGUCCUCUUGCUAGAAACUUCGAUGGGACACGAGAAUCUGAAAUUAUACUGAAUUACAAAGAAAAAGCAAAUUAGCUACUUUUUUUUUUAACCCUGAACUUAUUUGUUUGUAUCAAACAUUUCUCCCCAAUGUGCAAAGUAUAAUUAAAGAUCACUGAAUCUAUUAACCAUCUUUCUAAACAUAAAACAUCAAGCAACAAAUGACAGAAACUCAGUUGGUAUUACAGACCUUUUGCCUAAAAAUUCUACAACAGGAUCUUUUUUGUAAGUUAAACUCUGAACUUUUCAUUACAUUUGAUCUUUUUAUCACAAGUGAUGUAUUAUAGUUUCUGAUUAUCUGGAAUGAUAAAACUGAGGUACUUUCUAGGCUAGUAUAUUUUCAUAAGUGUGUUAGGCUGCAUGAAAGUAGUACUCUAAGAUCUCUCACAAACAUUUUAUACAGCCAUGUAGAAAAUUUCAAGGACAGAAAAAUAAAUGUCACUUAAUUUUGCAGUAUGCCCAGUAGAUUUUAAUAAUCAAUCCUCAAAUAAUAGAAAGUAAACAGCUAUACUCUACAUAACUCCCAACCUAAUAGUUUACUGAAUAGAGGGUUGUUAAUCUUUCUUCAGCAUAUCAAAGAGUAGUUAACAAAAAAUAAAAUAACAAUCCAAUCUAAAUCCUUCAUCCUGGGUAAGGAGUAGAAUAGAAGGGAGGGGCUGCGUGCCAAACACUUUUAAUAACUUUUAAUAAAUAAGUUGACUCACCUAUUAUUUUCACAGCAAUCUUAAAGUUUUUCUUUUUUCUUGCUUUUUUUUUUUUUGAGGUAAAUAUGUUUUCUUACCGAUGCAGACAGGGAGGUAAAAAUUAACUUGCUCAAAGUUACUCAGCCAAUAAUUGGUGGAGGUGGGGUACAAACAGGCAGUUUGGCUCAAGUUUUAGCUCUCUGCCACUGUCACAUUACUCCACAGCCUCUGUUUAAUAUAAGAUCACAACUAAAUAAGAGCAGCUAUUCAAAAGGUGAAUUAUAUAGCCCUUACAACAAUAUUAAAGAGCAACUGGAAUUGUAAAACAAUGUGUAUUGAAGGGCAUAAAAUUGUACUGUCAAGUGUAAAUCUAAGGAGUUCUGUAAGUACAAAUCUGACAGACAAUUUCAAUAUACAAUCUAAUAAAAUACUGUAUACCCACGUCAGAGGAAUAACACUAACUCUUGAAAGAUUAAGAACAGUAUAAUUAGAAACUUCUACUGAUCUUAAGACCUAGUCUUAUCUGUCUGAACUCGAAAUCUGCCUCUUUCUAAUUCCCUUCUGCACCCUGUUCGGAACUACUUUAUUUCUGCCAAAUUCCAAAAUUCCAAAUUUACUGAUCAUGUGUGUCUUUUUCACAGCACUUAAAAAGUUUACAGAAGAAUUUUAACUUGCAUAGCUCAAAACAUCUGUAUUGUACGCCAAUAAAUCGAUAAACUUAAAAAAAAAAAGAAGGGAUAAAAUGGAAGAAAGAAAAAAUCAUUCUAAGCAAUGAAAUAGUAAGGAACAGAAAGGCAAUGAUGAAUGUAACAAUUUAUGAUUAUAGUAACAAUUUACUACAUGUGAUCAAUUUGAGGGCUUAUGAAGGUUUCUCAGCACAUCAGCUGAUGAGACGACUAAUAAAUAUCCUGAGUCCAAGAUGUUCUACAUAAUUAAUCCUCUUGGCAAAGAACAAGAACCAGGGAAAAUCGCAAGGAAGAAAUGCACAAAUGACACGCAUGUGGAAUUAGGGGGAGAUGUUAUGUACGUUACUACGAGGAUGACACACUGGCAUGUGAAAGGUUUCUGGGCUCCACCAGCUCGUUGCAGCACCAACGAGGUUGUGGUUGUUUACACCACGUCGCCCGGAAAAAAGCCGGCAAGCUUCAAGUGGACUAUUAAGUUAAUAAUAUUGAAGGGAAAGAAGGGCAACGCAACUGAACAUCUGGAUGAGCAGAUCCCUGCCUAGGCCCCGAGGCAGCUGACCAAGUCCAGAUCAUUCCCCCUUACGGUCUAUGCGCACAAAGAACCAGCUGCUUUAGGUCAGUCCGCCGCCUCCUGCUACCCCUAUUACCGUGGCCUUAAUUUCAGGCCAGCUAAGGCCAGAGGAUGGGGUGAAGGGAGGGGAGGAGCCCCGGGAAGGGUCAGCGUCUGCGCCCCAGGGGAGGCUGACCUUCCAGCUCAGGCCCGGGACAGCGCGACCACAGGAACUCCAGGCCCACAGCCGCGCCUCCGCAGCCGGAUUCUGAGCGCGGCGCCUCCUUCCUUCCCCUGCUGCUCCACCACCACCUCCGUCUCUGUCUCCGCCGUCGCCAACACCGCCCCCCCUCAGGCCCCUCACAACGCGCAGCCUGCAGCCAGCUGCCUCGCGGCGGAACCCCACCCCACCCCACCCCACCUCGCCCUUGCUUUCGCUCGCCCUUUUAGGGGGCUUUCCCCGCCCCUUCCACUAUCCAGCGCGCCGAAGCCCCCUGCCCAGAGCUCGGCUUUGCUACCUGGAUCCGCUUCUUGUGUCUCCUGCGUUCCGCCAUGUUGGC